RNAcentral lists this ribosomal RNA (254 nucleotides) under uncultured bacterium. RNAcentral describes it as "partial 16S ribosomal RNA". It matches the Rfam family "Bacterial small subunit ribosomal RNA", at positions 524 to 776 of the family's 1533-position model. The record is from RNAcentral.
UACGAAGGGUGCAAGCGUUACUCGGAAUCACUGGGCGUAAAGCGUGCGUAGGCGGUUUCUUAAGUCUGUCGUGAAAGCCCUGGGCUCAACCUGGGAAUGGCGAUGGAUACUGGGAGGCUAGAGUGUGAUAGAGGAUGGUGGAAUUCCCGGUGUAGCGGUGAAAUGCGUAGAGAUCGGGAGGAACACCAGUGGCGAAGGCGGCCCCCUGGGCCCGUACCUGACGCUGAGGCGCGAAGGCUAGGGGAGCGAACGGG